AUCCAGAUGACGAGUCCCAAAUAGGACGAAACGCGCGUGGAAUUGGAU
This 48-nucleotide non-coding RNA is filed under the name Schistosoma margrebowiei. The record is from RNAcentral. Lineage: Eukaryota; Metazoa; Platyhelminthes; Trematoda; Strigeidida; Schistosomatidae.